GAAAUGCGAUAAGUAAUGUUAAUUGCAGAAUUCAGUGAAUCAUCGAAUCUUUGAACGCACAUUGCGCUCGCCAGUAUUCUGGCGAGCAUGCCUGUUCGAGCGUCAUUUCAACCAUCAAGCUCUGCUUGCGUUGGGGAUCCGCGGCUGCCCGCGGUCCCUCAAAAACAGUGGCGGGCUCGCUAGUCACACCGAGCGUAGUAACUCUACAUCGCUAUGGUCGUGCGGCGGGUUCUUGCCGUAAAACCCCCAAUUUCUAAGGUUGACCUCGGAUCAGGUAGGAAUACCCGCUGAACUUAAGC
RNAcentral lists this unclassified non-coding RNA (299 nucleotides) under plant metagenome. Its description in RNAcentral is "partial contains 5.8S ribosomal RNA, internal transcribed spacer 2, and large subunit ribosomal RNA". The stretch from base 1 to 105 matches the Rfam family "5.8S ribosomal RNA", at positions 50 to 154 of the family's 154-position model. The record is from RNAcentral.